AUAAGGAUAUAGCUUGGUUAAUUUAUCAAAUUUAAAUGACACGAAGUCAGUUUAUUUUCAACAAGGAAUCUAUCUCAUCAGUCUUUUUGCCGCCACACCCGCACUUCUCUAAAUGAUUAUGAGUAGGAACACGCUUCCUGUGUUAAGGAUACAAAGUAACCGUACCUUCUUCACCUUGCUAGUGGGCCAGUCCAGUGGUCGUAGCUGACUUCCUGCUGGGUGUAUGUUCUGUGUGUUAGGGAUUAGGCUAGAUACCUUGCUAGUGGGCCAGUCCAGUGGUCGUAGCUGACUUCCUGCUGGGUGUAUGUUCUGUGUGUUAGGGAUUAGGCUAGAUACCUUGCUAGUGGGCCAGUCCAGUGGUCGUAGCUGACUUCCUGCUGGGUGUAUGUUCUGUGUGUUAGGGAUUAGGCUAGAUACCUUGCUAUAUAGGUCAGGUAAUGACUAACUCGCGUCAUCAGCUGCCCUGAGUUGUGGUAGGUUUAGAAAAGUAGUAACCUCGGGAAUCCUUGACCAUCCAUGUGUAUGUGACAAAUAAAAUUGGAUUUGAUUCUAGCAAUACGAUAGACUUGUUAAAUGCCAUUCAAACAAAUGUCUUUGUGUGCUAUGCUGAUUUAAAAAAAAAUGUUUUGCCUACUGGCAUAUCUUAACCAACAGUGUCUGUCGCAUUUAGGUCCCAAAACAGAUCUAUAGUACCAGGUUAGCUAGAUCCUGUUAUCGGAGAUGUAUCAGGUCUGUUACCAGGCUAGCUAGAUCCUGUUAUCGGAGAUGUAUCAGGUCUGUUACCAGGCUAGCUAGAUCCUGUUAUCGGAGAUGUAUCAGGUCUGUUACCAGGCUAGCUAGAUCCUGUUAUCGGAGAUGUAUCAGGUCUGUUACCAGGCUAGCUAGAUAAACAGGUCUGUUACCAGGCUAGCUAGAUCCUGUUAUCGGAGAUAUAUCAGGUCUGUUACCAGGCUAGCUAGAUCCUGUUAUCGGAGAUAUAUCAGGUCUGUUACCAGGCUAGCUAGAUCCUGUUAUCGGAGAUAUAUCAGGUCUGUUACCAGGCUAGCUAGAUCCUGUUAUCGGAGAUAUAUCAGGUCUGUUACCAGGCUAGCUAGAUCCUGUUAUCGGAGAUAUAUCAGGUUUGUUACCAGGCUAGCUAGAUCCUGUUAUAGGAGAUAUAUCAGGUCUGUUACCAGGCUAGCUAGAUCCUGUUAUUGGAG
Molecule: long non-coding RNA, 1199 nt
Organism: Oncorhynchus tshawytscha (Chinook salmon)
Lineage: Eukaryota; Metazoa; Chordata; Actinopteri; Salmoniformes; Salmonidae
Source: Ensembl